Molecule: ribosomal RNA, 443 nt
Filed under: uncultured bacterium
Lineage: Bacteria
Description: partial 16S ribosomal RNA
Rfam family: Bacterial small subunit ribosomal RNA
Source: RNAcentral
CCUACGGGAGGCAGCAGUGGGGAAUAUUGGGCAAUGGGCGCAAGCCUGACCCAGCAACGCCGCGUGAAGGAAGAAGGCUUUCUGGUUGUAAACUUCUUUUAUCAGGGACGAAGCAAGUGACGGUACCUGAUGAUUAAGCCACGGCUAACAACGUGCCAGCAGCCGCGGUAAUACGUGGGUGGCGAGCGUUAUCCGGAUGUACUGGGUGUAAGGGGAGUGUAGGCGGGAGUGCAAGUCAGAUGUGAAAACUAUGGGCUCAACCCAUAGCGUGGGUUUGACAUGGUACUUCUUGAGUGCUGGGGAGGCAAUCGGAAUUCGGGGUGUAGCGGUGAAAUGCGUAGAUAUACGGAGGAACACCAGUGGCGAAGGCGGAUUGCUGGACAGUAACUGACGCUGAGGCGCGAAAGCGUGGGGAGCAAACAGGAUUAGAUACCCCUGUAGUC